UUUCGAGUUAGCGGCGGACGGGUGGAGGUAACACGUGGGUAACGUACCUAUAAGACUGGGAGUAACUCCGGGAAACCCGGAGCUAAUACCGGAUAACAUUUAGAACCGCAUGGUUCUAAAGUGAAAGANGGUUUUGCUAUCACUUAUAGAUGGACCCGCGCCGUAUUAGCUAGUUGGUAAGGUAACGGCUUACCAAGGCGACGAUACGUAGCCGACCUGAGAGGGUGAUCGGCCACACUGGAACUGAGACACGGUCCAGACUCCUACGGGAGGCAGCAG
Molecule: ribosomal RNA, 279 nt
Filed under: uncultured bacterium
Lineage: Bacteria
Description: partial 16S ribosomal RNA
Rfam family: Bacterial small subunit ribosomal RNA
Source: RNAcentral